UGUGGCCUGGCCUGGCUGCAGGGGCCAGGGUGAGUCAGGCGCUCUGUCCCUCGCACAGUGCAGUCUGUCCCGACACGCCCAGCACCGCUCAGAACCAAGAGAUCAAGCUGCCUGGGAGGGACAGAGACAGCUCCCAGGAGUCACCAUCACAAGACACACCUUGUGGUAAAGUAGCCAGCAGGGGACUUUAUGCCUGGUCAAUCAUGAAUUGAUUAUUUACUUCCUCUGCAGGGAUGGAGCUCUGUGUGCCCCAGGGCAUGAUGGGGGAAGAAGCCAUGACUCAGCCACUCACUGGGGGGAUUCUAGGCAGGAUCUCAUUACCCGCUGUCCCGGAGCACUGGCCUUCACACUCCUGGAGACCCACCUGCCUCCGGGUUAGGGCUGAGCCCGCACACAGGCUUCUCACUUGUUUAGAGCCGGCCUGCCUCGACUGCUGGAGGAGCACAGACUGCCUGCCAGUGUGGCGAGAAGCCAUGGCACACACGGCUGAAGGACAGUCGCCUGUGACCCUGCAUUCUGGCCAAAGCAAACGCUGCCCCAGGAAGCAAACACAGAUGCCCCCCUCCCCCCGAGGACAGAGGGGGCAACGGCCUGGAGGGCAUGGUGUCGGAGGGGCUGCGCCUCCGCCCGGGGGCGCUGUGGACACCAGGCUGCGCUGUGCUCUGUGGGGCGUCCCCGGCCUCCUCCGACUGCAGGCUCCUGCCAAAGAGGUGCCCGGAAGUCCCUUCCUCCUGAGACUGCCCUUGGCACCUCGUCCAUUCACUGACUUCCCAGCAGCUUCUGGCCAGACAUCGACCACGUAAAACUCCUCGACAGGCCUCAAAGCCCUUCAUGCCCCGUCCCCGUCCCUUCCCUUCCUUCCCCCUCUCUUCCCUGCACUAAUUCUGGCCCUCUCACCCUCUCUCCGUCACCUCUCUCCAAGCCUCAGCUCUAGGAUUCCCUGGGACCCCUUUGGCUCAAGCUGUGCCCAGGGGUUCGGCCCUCUGCUUUCGCUCCUUCUGACGCGGUUAGCGGUCGCCGAUGUGCUCGUUUCCUGCACAGGAGCUUGCUUCUCUCCCCCCCGGGAAGCGUCACCUCCACCCCGUCCUUCUGCUCCAGCCUCAGGAGGGCCCUGGAUGCCUCGCAGUGCUCCGUCCUGCCCCGGGGCCUUUGCACAGGUGACCUCUUCCGCCUGAAGCCCUCUCCAGCUCUCCACCCCUCGGCUGACUCGGUCUCCCAGCCAGGACUCCGGGUGGCCCCUGCUUCUGGCCAUGGACUCGGCUGGUUGCUUCCUGGCGUCUGUCUACCGAGAUGUGGCUCAUCCGGCCGCUUGUGGAUAAUUGAUUGGUCAGGCCUAAAGCAAUGGCAGGCGCACGGGAGGUGCUCAACGAGCAAGCAUUGAUUGUGCACCCGCUGUAUACCCACCCUCUUCUGGGCAACAGCAUCUGGUAAUGACC
RNAcentral lists this long non-coding RNA (1436 nucleotides) under Meriones unguiculatus (Mongolian gerbil). Its description in RNAcentral is "lncRNA (ENSMUGG00000013722.1)". Lineage: Eukaryota; Metazoa; Chordata; Mammalia; Rodentia; Muridae. The record is from RNAcentral.